RNAcentral lists this long non-coding RNA (328 nucleotides) under Heterocephalus glaber (naked mole-rat). RNAcentral describes it as "lncRNA (ENSHGLG00100044129.1)". Lineage: Eukaryota; Metazoa; Chordata; Mammalia; Rodentia; Bathyergidae. The record is from RNAcentral.
GGGAAAACCCCUCGCAAUAAGAAACAUUAUUGCACAUGACUGGACUGGAGAGGGAGAUAAAUAAUUCAGCUGCCACACUAAAUACUGGAGAGGAGCUGACGGGGAGGAAGAUAUCGUGAAACCUGGGCUGGGAAAACAAGCCUUUCUUAAGAAGCCAGCAAACCGUAGUACAGUCCUUAACUGCCUCCAUGGCAGGAACAGCAGGAUGGAAGGACCUGGGCAAAAGAUGGCUGCUCAUCCUAUAGCAGCUGGGAAGCAGAGAAAGAAAGAAGGAGUUCCACUGACUGAGCCUCCUGGCAUGGGAGGAAACAGCAGGCAUGGAGGAGAG